GCAUUUUUUUUGGACUAAACUAUGUAUUACAACCAAUAAAUAAUUCGUCGAUAAUAUUCCUAAUUUAUCAACAAAUCAGAAAAUUUGUCAGUAAUUUUUGAUGAAUACAAAUUCAUAAAUAAACUUCUUUAAUAAUUAUUGAUGGUAAAAAAGUGUAUGUAAAUAUUGGUUAAUAAAUGUUAUAAUUGAAUUUUGACUAAUUCUUUUUUCUCUUCUUUUAUUUUUUUUUUUAAAUUUUUUUAUUCCUUCUUCCUCUUUUUCUCUUUUUCAUCGUCUUGUCCCUCCAAUGUCAUUUUCAUCACUUUCGAUUCUUCCUCCUCAUCUUCCUUGUAAUUCUUCACUUUCUCCUCAUGUUAUAAACUUCUCUUUCACACUUUUCUCCAACUCUGAUUCCCACCUGGAUGGUUGCUUUGCCACUGCACUAACAUCACGUCAUCGUCGUGCCUCCAUCGCCAUUGCCAUUAAUCCUAAGUUCUCCUCAUCCUCUUCCUCUUCCUCUUCCUCUUCCUCUUCCUUCUCACUCUCUUCUUCUUUUUUUUUCUUCUUCUCACCCAUUUUAUCUUAAUAUGUAAAAGAAUCUUAAAAGACUUGGUAGGAAAUUUGCAAUUCUUUUUACUAACAAAUUUGUCAAUUUAAAAAUC
RNAcentral lists this long non-coding RNA (641 nucleotides) under Vigna radiata. RNAcentral describes it as "long non-coding RNA (VRAD_LNC006220)". Lineage: Eukaryota; Viridiplantae; Streptophyta; Magnoliopsida; Fabales; Fabaceae. The record is from RNAcentral.